GUUCCAGUCCAACGUUAAUCGGGGCUGGGUGAGUCGACCCCUAAGGCGAGGCCGAAAGGCGUAGUCGAUGGGAAAAUGGUUAAUAUUCCAUUACUUCUGUGUAAUGCGAUGAGAGGACGGAGAAGGCUAAAUCAGCCUGGCGUUGGUUGUCCAGGUGAAAGGAUGUAGGCAUGUAUCUUAGGCAAAUCCGGGGUACUCUAUGCUGAGAUCUGAUAGCAAGCUGUACUUGUACAGCGAAGUGGUUGAUGCCAUGCUUCCAGGAAAAGUCUCUAAGCUUCAGUUACACAGGAAUCGUACCCGAAACCGACACAGGUGGUCAGGUCGAGUAGACCAAGGCGCUUGAGAGAACUCUGCUGAAGGAACUAGGCAAAAUGGUACCGUAACUUCGGGAGAAGGUACGCUGUUGUUGGUGAUGGAACUCGCUUCCUGAGCUGACGACAGCCGCAGAAACCAGGCCGCUGCAACUGUUUAUUAAAAACAUAGCACUCUGCAAACACGAAAGUGGACGUAUAGGGUGUGAUGCCUGCCCGGUGCUGGAAGGUUAAUUGAUGGGGUUAGCGUAAGCGAAGCUCUUGAUCGAAGCCCCAGUAAACGGCGGCCGUAACUAUAACGGUCCUAAGGUAGCGAAAUUCCUUGUCGGGUAAGUUCCGACCUGCACGAAUGGCAUAAUGAUGGCGGCGCUGUCUCCAGCAGAGGCUCAGUGAAAUCGAAAUCGCUGUGAAGAUGCAGUGUACCCGCGGCUAGACGGAAAGACCCCGUGAACCUUUACUGCAGCUUGACACUGAACUUUGACCUUACUUGUGUAGGAUAGGUGGGAGGCUUUGAAGCUGGAACGCUAGUUCCAGUGGAGCCGUCCUUGAAAUACCACCCUGGUAAUGUUGAGGUUCUAACUCUGUCCCGUGAUCCGGGACGAGGACCGUGUCUGGUGGGUAGUUUGACUGGGGCGGUCUCCUCCUAAAGAGUAACGGAGGAGUACGAAGGUGCGCUCAGCGUGGUCGGAAAUCACGCGUAGAGUAUAAAGGCAAAAGCGCGCUUAACUGCGAGACCCACAAGUCGAGCAGGUACGAAAGUAGGUCUUAGUGAUCCGGUGGUUCUGUAUGGAAGGGCCAUCGCUCAACGGAUAAAAGGUACUCUGGGGAUAACAGGCUGAUACCGCCCAAGAGUUCAUAUCGACGGCGGUGUUUGGCACCUCGAUGUCGGCUCAUCUCAUCCUGGGGCUGAAGCAGGUCCCAAGGGUAUGGCUGUUCGCCAUUUAAAGAGGUACGCGAGCUGGGUUUAGAACGUCGUGAGACAGUUCGGUCCCUAUCUACCGUGGGCGCUGGAAAUUUGAGAGGAUCUGCUCCUAGUACGAGAGGACCAGAGUGGACGAACCUCUGGUGUACCGGUUGUGACGCCAGUCGCAUCGCCGGGUAGCUAUGUUCGGAAGGGAUAACCGCUGAAAGCAUCUAAGCGGGAAGCCUACCUCAAGAUAAGAUUUCCCUAGGACUUUAUGUCCUCUAAAGAGCCGUUCGAGACUAGGACGUUGAUAGGUUGGAUGUGGAAGCAUAGUGAUAUGUGAAGCUGACCAAUACUAAUUGCUCGUGAGGCUUGACUAU
This 1595-nucleotide ribosomal RNA is filed under the name Acinetobacter baumannii. RNAcentral describes it as "partial 23S ribosomal RNA". It matches the Rfam family "Bacterial large subunit ribosomal RNA", at positions 1351 to 2925 of the family's 2925-position model. Lineage: Bacteria; Pseudomonadati; Pseudomonadota; Gammaproteobacteria; Moraxellales; Moraxellaceae. The record is from RNAcentral.